RNAcentral lists this ribosomal RNA (253 nucleotides) under uncultured bacterium. RNAcentral describes it as "partial 16S ribosomal RNA". It matches the Rfam family "Bacterial small subunit ribosomal RNA", at positions 524 to 776 of the family's 1533-position model. The record is from RNAcentral.
UACAGAGGGUGCGAGCGUUGUUCGGAAUCAUUGGGCGUAAAGCGCGUGUAGGUGGUCAUCUAAGUCGAGUGUGAAAUCCCUGGGCUCAACCUAGGAAGUGCAUCCGAAACUAGUUGACUAGAAGACAGUAGAGGAAAGUGGAAUUCCAAGUGUAGAGGUGAAAUUCGUAGAUAUUUGGAGGAAUACCGGCGGCGAAGGCGGCUUUCUGGGCUGUUCUUGACACUGAGACGCGAAAGCGUGGGUAGCAAACAGG